This 28-nucleotide non-coding RNA is filed under the name Bombyx mori (domestic silkworm). Lineage: Eukaryota; Metazoa; Arthropoda; Insecta; Lepidoptera; Bombycidae. The record is from RNAcentral.
UCUCUUAACUGGUCUACCUUCUCGUCGA